This 467-nucleotide ribosomal RNA is filed under the name uncultured Anaerolineaceae bacterium. RNAcentral's name for it is "bacterial SSU rRNA". It matches the Rfam family "Bacterial small subunit ribosomal RNA", at positions 903 to 1382 of the family's 1533-position model. Lineage: Bacteria; Bacillati; Chloroflexota; Anaerolineae; Anaerolineales; Anaerolineaceae. The record is from RNAcentral.
UACAAAUGAAUUGACGGGGACCCGCACAAGCAGCGGAGCGUGUGGUUUAAUUCGUUGCUACACGAAGAACCUUACCUGGGUUUGACAUAUAGGUUGUAGGGAACUGAAAGGGACCGACCCUUCGGGGAGCCUAUACAGGUGUUGCAUGGCUGUCGUCAGCUCGUGUCGUGAGAUGUUCGGUUAAGUCCGCUAACGAGCGCAACCCUCGUCGUAUGUUAUAUGUGUCAUACGAGACUGCCGGUAAAAGCCGGAGGAAGGUGAGGAUGAUGUCAAGUCAGCAUGACCUUUAUAUCCAGGGCUACACACACGCUACAAUGGUCUGUACAAUGGGUAGCCAAGCCGCGAGGCGGAGCCAAUCCUGAAAGCAGGCCUCAGUUCAGAUUGCAGUCUGCAACUCGACUGCAUGAAGCCGGAGUUGCUAGUAACCGCAGGUCAGCAAUACUGCGGUGAAUACGUUCCCGGGUCUU